Molecule: long non-coding RNA, 573 nt
Organism: Anneissia japonica
Lineage: Eukaryota; Metazoa; Echinodermata; Crinoidea; Comatulida; Comatulidae
Exons: 3
Source: RefSeq, a predicted model, not a curated record
UAUUGUUUAUUGAUCUGUAUGGUAGUCUUGUGGUAGACCAAUACAGUAUAUUAUUUAUUUUAACAAGACUGACUGAAUGCUGCUGUCGUCGUCGUCGUGUUUUGUACGUAUUGCCAGAGAGUUGUUAUAGUGUAUUGCACAUCAACAGAACGUCAAUCGCCGUGUUCAUCGUGUGUAAAAGACUUUAGGUAGAUGCUAUUUGGUACUACACUAACAGUGGAAAAACACAUUGUAUCCUAUUCAAGAAGAGCCGAUAGAUGACACGCAUCAUUUGCUUUAAGAUGUAAACAUAUCACGUAAUCCAGAUAUUUAUUGGCAUGAAAACACUAUAUCGGCUAUUAUUCGACUCAUAACAUUUUCAUACAACCCAUCAUGAUAUUUCCGUGCACCCCAUCAUGCAAUGUCCAUACGCGGGAGCUUAUCGACAGUUAAAUAUACUACUAUAUAAACGUUGACAAUGUACUUGGAAUUAUUUUCAGUCAAUAAAGUUCUGACUGAAUAUUUCCGUUGAAACCUUAACUGUACUAGUACAUCUUAGACAAAUUUUGACAAUGACUGACACUGAUAUAUUUG